This 509-nucleotide ribosomal RNA is filed under the name Enterococcus durans. Its description in RNAcentral is "bacterial SSU rRNA". It matches the Rfam family "Bacterial small subunit ribosomal RNA", at positions 102 to 597 of the family's 1533-position model. The record is from RNAcentral. Lineage: Bacteria; Bacillati; Bacillota; Bacilli; Lactobacillales; Enterococcaceae.
ACGGGUGAGUAACACGUGGGUAACCUGCCCAUCAGAAGGGGAUAACACUUGGAAACAGGUGCUAAUACCGUAUAACAAUCGAAACCGCAUGGUUUUGAUUUGAAAGGCGCUUUCGGGUGUCGCUGAUGGAUGGACCCGCGGUGCAUUAGCUAGUUGGUGAGGUAACGGCUCACCAAGGCCACGAUGCAUAGCCGACCUGAGAGGGUGAUCGGCCACAUUGGGACUGAGACACGGCCCAAACUCCUACGGGAGGCAGCAGUAGGGAAUCUUCGGCAAUGGACGAAAGUCUGACCGAGCAACGCCGCGUGAGUGAAGAAGGUUUUCGGAUCGUAAAACUCUGUUGUUAGAGAAGAACAAGGAUGAGAGUAACUGUUCAUCCCUUGACGGUAUCUAACCAGAAAGCCACGGCUAACUACGUGCCAGCAGCCGCGGUAAUACGUAGGUGGCAAGCGUUGUCCGGAUUUAUUGGGCGUAAAGCGAGCGCAGGCGGUUUCUUAAGUCUGAUGUGA